GCGGUAAUACGUAGGGUGCGAGCGUUAAUCGGAAUUACUGGGCGUAAAGCGUGCGCAGGCGGCUUUGCAAGACAGAGGUGAAAUCCCCGGGCUCAACCUGGGAACUGCCUUUGUGACUGCAAGGCUAGAGUACGGCAGAGGGGGAUGGAAUUCCGCGUGUAGCAGUGAAAUGCGUAGAUAUGCGGAGGAACACCGAUGGCGAAGGCAAUCCCCUGGGCCUGUACUGACGCUCAUGCACGAAAGCGUGGGGAGCAAACAGGAUUAGA
Molecule: ribosomal RNA, 266 nt
Filed under: uncultured Burkholderiales bacterium
Lineage: Bacteria; Pseudomonadati; Pseudomonadota; Betaproteobacteria; Burkholderiales
Description: partial 16S ribosomal RNA
Rfam family: Bacterial small subunit ribosomal RNA
Source: RNAcentral